Molecule: non-coding RNA, 363 nt
Organism: Caenorhabditis elegans
Lineage: Eukaryota; Metazoa; Nematoda; Chromadorea; Rhabditida; Rhabditidae
Source: Ensembl
AAAAACUGAGGAGGACGGAAGAGCGGCAGUUCAAAAAGUGCGAGAGGCGGGGCAAUAGCCCUCCUCGUCCGACUGUCGAUAUCACCAAGAGAGGCGGAGCGACAGGGUGGCGGAGGGUGGUAGACUGGCAGUAGUUCUCAGUCAUCCCAAUAGACUUCUGAAGUUGACGACGAUGAAGACUGAGAUUCCGGACGACGACGCCGUGCUGCUGUCCUCAAGAUUGUAAUAGUGUGGCCGAGAUGGGGCGGGGCCUCCGUUUCACACUCUAUGCGCCCCUCUACUGCUCAGCGCUGGGCGUUCCGUCCGUUUCUCUACGCUCUCGUUUCCUUAUCUUUCGGUAUCGAAGGUGCAAUUAAGGAUCCG